RNAcentral lists this ribosomal RNA (433 nucleotides) under uncultured bacterium. RNAcentral describes it as "bacterial SSU rRNA". It matches the Rfam family "Bacterial small subunit ribosomal RNA", at positions 8 to 425 of the family's 1533-position model. The record is from RNAcentral.
AGAGUUUGAUCCUGGCUCAGAAUCAACGCUGGCGGCGUGCCUAACACAUGCAAGUCGAACGCGAAAGUUCCUUCGGGAAUGAUUAGAGUGGCGUCCGGGUGAGUAACACGUGGGUAAUCUACCUUCGGGUGGGGAAUAACAUCUCGAAAGAGAUGCUAAUACCGCAUAAUGCAGCGGCAUCUAAUGAUGAUUAGUUGUUAAAGCGGGGGAUCGCAAGACCUCGCGCCUGAAGAGGAGCCUGCGGCCGAUUAGCUAGUUGGUGAGGUAAUGGCUCACCAAGGCUUCGAUCGGUAGCUGGUCUGAGAGGACGGCCAGCCACACUGGCACUGACACACGGGCCAGACUCCUACGGGAGGCAGCAGUGGGGAAUUUUGGGCAAUGGGCGAAAGCCUGACCCAGCAACGCCGCGUGAGGGAGGAAAUCCUUCGGGAUG